UGGGGGAUAUUGCACAAUGGGCGAAAGCCUGAUGCAGCGACGCCGCGUGGGGGAUGAAGGCUUUCGGGUUGUAAACCUCUUUCGCUAUCGAACAAGGCCCGCUUAGGGUGGGUUGAGGGUAGGUGGAGAAGAAGCGCCGGCUAACUACGUGCCAGCAGCCGCGGUAAUACGUAGGGCGCGAGCGUUGUCCGGAAUUAUUGGGCGUAAAGGGAGUGUAGGCGGCUUGUUGCGCCUGCUGUGAAAACGCGGGGCUUUACUUCGCGCGUGCAGUGGGUACGGGCAGGCUUGAGUGUGGUAGGGGUGACUGGAAUUCCGGGUGUGGCGGUGGAUUGAGCGAAUAUCUGGAGGAACACCGAUGGCGAAGGCAGGUGACUGGGCCAUUACUGACGCUGAGGAGCGAAAGCAUGGGUAGCGAACAGG
RNAcentral lists this ribosomal RNA (420 nucleotides) under bacterium. Its description in RNAcentral is "partial 16S ribosomal RNA". It matches the Rfam family "Bacterial small subunit ribosomal RNA", at positions 355 to 776 of the family's 1533-position model. The record is from RNAcentral.